RNAcentral lists this unclassified non-coding RNA (277 nucleotides) under uncultured fungus. Its description in RNAcentral is "sequence contains ITS1". Lineage: Eukaryota; Fungi. The record is from RNAcentral.
GUAUAGGUUUAAUGACUGCGACUAGCACAAUCUUUAAUAGACAUUCUGUAACUUUAUAGUGUAUAUGAAAACAUAGCCUUGAAGAAAGCAAGCAGGGGAAGGGCUCGCGCCCAAGUCCCCCAAACCGCAUCGCUGCGAGAGGUUCACUUUUUCAAAGACUACAAAAGGUGCACAAGAGAAGAUAAAUAGAUGGAAACGAGCACAUGCUCAGUGAAGAGCCAGCAUCAGAAAUCCAGCGUAUUCAAUAAUGAUCCUUCCGCAGGUUCACCUACGGAAA